This 160-nucleotide ribosomal RNA is filed under the name Taraxacum sp. Lepschi 4865. RNAcentral's name for it is "5.8S ribosomal RNA". It matches the Rfam family "5.8S ribosomal RNA". From Rfam's summary of the family: 5.8S ribosomal RNA (5.8S rRNA) is a component of the large subunit of the eukaryotic ribosome. It is transcribed by RNA polymerase I as part of the 45S precursor that also contains 18S and 28S rRNA. Functionally, it is thought that 5.8S rRNA may be involved in ribosome translocation. Lineage: Eukaryota; Viridiplantae; Streptophyta; Magnoliopsida; Asterales; Asteraceae. The record is from RNAcentral.
ACGACUCUCGGCAACGGAUAUCUCGGCUCACGCAUCGAUGAAGAACGUAGCAAAAUGCGAUACUUGGUGUGAAUUGCAGAAUCCCGUGAACCAUCGAGUUUUUGAACGCAAGUUGCGCCCGAAGCCAUCCGGUUCAGGGCACGCCUGCCUGGGCGUCACG